AUUGGUGACCUCAUAAGAAUCCAAAGUCCAAAGGCAGUGAGUAAAUUGAAUGAAAAGCCGUGUCCUUUUUGGUCACGAAAAGCAGCAGAGUAUAAUAACAGAGACACAGAGAGAGAGAGAGAGAGAGAGAGAGAAGAAGAGAGGAGAUGAGGACAUUGGGCACAAGAAUCAGAAAAUGUGCGUGUGGAUAUAAAAUCAAAAUAUAUAAACAUUGCUUCUUGUCAGUCAAAGCCUUUGCAGUCUCAAAGCCAAAGAGAAGCAUCGAGUCAUUUUCAUGAAAUUGGUGGAGAAGAAAGAGAGGACAAAAACAACAAAGUCGUCCUCGGAAAUUCAGUGAGUCUCUGAGUCUACCCUUUCAAAACGCGGAAUCGCUCCCACCAUUAAAGAAAUCACGGGUUGAUUCAAUUUCCAUUUUCUUUGAAGAUUCAAAGCUGCAAACCCAAGAUCACCGUCAUCGACAACACCUUUACAUUGAGCAACCACCCCCACAAAAGCCAGAAGCUUUCGUUUCAUUGACCCAAAUUGGUUGUGCCCAGUUGUUUUGCUUCUUCGAAUUUCAUGGCUUCGGCGGCGAUAUUCUCAUCGCUGCGGCGGCGAAGGUCGCCUUCUUUGGAGGCGUUUUUAGCUCCGGUAGACCUCUCCGACGUGGCGCUUGUACAAAUCCUAGUCUCAGUCACCGCCGAGAUAGCUUCGUCCUUCUCUGACAAGUUCUUCUCAUUCCAGAAGAGGAAUUCGAGGUCCCUGGUGCGAAAAGUCGAGAUCUUUCUCGUGCUUUUGGAGUAUUUGAGGGACUCCGGGUCGGCUCUGCCAUGGACGGCCGUCAUCUGCUUGAAAGAGCUCUACUUGCUCUUGUAUAGAUCCAAAAUUCUUCUCGAUUACUGCGCCCAGUCCAGUAAGUUAUGGCUUUUGCUUCAGAAUCAACCAAUUUCAGGUCAUUUUCAUGAUUUGAAUAAAGAAAUUUCGACCCUUUUGGACGUUUUUCCCAUGGAGGACGUUGAAUUGGGUGAGGAUGUGAGGGAGCAGAUUGAGCUGUUGCAGAGACAGGCCAGGAGGGCGAAACUGUUCAUCGAUGAAGGAGAUGAGGAGUUGAGGGUUAAAUUCUUUUCGUUCCUUGACGAGUUUGAGAAGGGUCAGGUUCCCGACUCGGCCGAUUUGUGGUUGUUUUUUGCAGAGCGAUUGGGGAUUCGAGAUGCCAAGAGUUGUCGAAAUGAAAUUGAGUUCUUGGAGGAGCAGAUUAUAAAUCACGAAGGGGAUGUUGAACCCACCGUUUCGGUGCUUAAUGGGUUUGUGGCAUUCACUCGAUAUUGCAGGUUUUUGCUUUUCGGGUUUGAAGAAGAUGAAGUGGAAUUGGGGAUUGGGAACAAUCAGAGGAAGCCUAGAAAAGGUUUGAUCACUCAAGAAAUUGCUGAGACUUUUAUAACGAUUCCAAAGGACUUUUGCUGCCCCAUAUCAUUGGAUUUGAUGAGAGAGCCGGUGAUUGUCUCAACAGGACAGACAUAUGAUCGAAGUUCUAUUUCGAGGUGGUUGGAAGAAGGGCAUUGUACUUGUCCAAAGACAGGACAAAUGCUGCCCAACACCCGCCUUGUUCCUAAUCGGGCAUUGAGGAAUUUGAUAAUGCAGUGGUGCACUGCUUAUGGAAUUCCUUAUGACCCUCCAGAGUGCACAGAAGCUUCUGCAGAAAGCUUUGCAGCUGCUUCUCCCUCUAAGGCUGCACUUGCUGCCAACAAAGCAACCGCAGGGCUUCUAAUCCAACGGCUGGAAGAUGGAUCACCAUGUGCACAAACUAUAGCUGCUCGUGAGAUUCGUUUGUUGGCCAAAACAGGAAGAGAAAAUCGUGCUUUCAUUGCGGAAGCUGGGGCGAUUCCCCAUCUAUGUAAGUUACUAUCAUCUCCAAACUCUGUUGCCCAAGAGAAUUCUGUAACUGCAAUGCUCAACUUAUCGAUAUAUGAUAAGAACAAAAGCCGGAUUAUGGAUGAAGGGUGUUUGGGAUCCAUUGUUGAUGUUCUGAGGUUUGGGCACACAACUGAGGCAAGGGAGAAUGCUGCAGCAACUUUGUUUAGUCUAUCUGCAGUUCAUGACUAUAAGAAGAGAAUAGCAGAUGAGGAAGGAGCAAUUGAAGCCUUGGCAGGGCUGUUGAGAGAGGGUACCCCAAGAGGAAAGAAGGAUGCUGUGACAGCUUUGUUUAACCUGUCAACUCACACAGAAAAUUGUUCGAGAAUGAUUGAGGCAGGGGCUGUGACAGCACUUGUAAGCGCAUUGGGAAAUGAAGGAGUUGCUGAGGAAGCAGCAGGUGCAUUGGCCUUGGUUGUUAGGCAGCCGAUUGGGGCUAAAGCAGUGGGGAAAGAGGACACGGCAGUGGCAGGUUUGGUAGGGAUGAUGCGUUGUGGGACUCCAAGGGGUAAAGAAAAUGCAGUUGCAGCUUUGCUUGAGUUGUGCCGGAGUGGUGGAGCUGCUGCCACUGAGAGGGUAGUUAAGGCACCAGCUUUGGCUGGGUUGCUGCAGGCAUUGCUUUUUACUGGUACAAAGCGGGCAAGAAGAAAGGCAGCAUCUCUUGCUAGAGUGUUCCAAAGGUGUGAGAAUGCUGCAGCCAUUCAUUUUGGUGGUCUUGGUGUAGGAUAUGCAUUUGCAGGUAACUCAGCUGCAAAUAGGGAUUCGAGUUUCGCCAGUGAUGUCGCAGUGCCAAUGUCCAUUUCAGUGCCUGUUUUAUAGUGGUAACAUCCACCCUAGAUUUAUAGUCUUCCUUGCUUAUAUGUUCCCAUUUUUGUUGGAAAUAUUUACACAUUCUUUCAUUGAAAUUGGAGGUCAUAAAGAAGUUACAGGAAUAUCUUAUCUAAAUGUGCUUUAAGAGAAUAUGUUGUGUUGUCGAGCUUCUAGUCUAAGUUUAGCAUACAUGUAAUGUCCAAUGGUUUGAAAAACCACGACAGAAAGUGUUCACAACAAUGUCAAGACCAUUACAGAUGCAUUGAGAAACUGCAGUUUCAAGGGAUGUUUCUCAAUUGGCUUAUUGGUUUCAUAAAAAUAUGAUUCAAAUGCAGAAAUUUGUAUUGCUGUGACAUUUUGUUAACUGAUAUAAUGACUGGCCGCUGAAAUCCUUAUCGAAGAAUCCUACUAAAGUCGUUUAAGUGAAUUCUUGGAGAUCCUUGUAACCUAGCAUAAUCAUAUAAGGUCUCAGACCUUGAAUCUCUUGAAAUCGUGUUAAUGCUUCUGAAUUUGAUGUUAUAAAGUGACUACUUAUAUUUGUGCUGCUCAACAGUGCUUUUGCCUGAUCUAUAAGUGAAUGUUUUAUAAACACCUAUUGAGAGAACAAAUAAUGUUAUAUGAACUAGUUGCAAUAAUUGGCUGAACAGUUGGGCUUUCCAUUUUUAGCUUCACUUUGGUAAGAGUGGAUCUCAGACUGUUAUUGGCACAAGUAACUGUCUAACUGAGUUCGUCUUCACAUUGUGAUGUUGAAUCAGAAAACAAAAAUUUGAUCUUUUAACAACUCUUAUGCGUUUGAAUAUUCAAAAGUGUUACCUUUCAAUUUAUAUUUACAAGACCUAGGCAACGUAGUUCUUAAGAAGUCUCAAGAAUUUAGUUAGCGAAGACUGAGCAAAGGUACGAGGCAUUUCCACAUCGGGAACUUUCUUUCUGGAGACUAAAACUAGUGGUUUAUUUGUGAAUGAUGUAAGAUAGGACACAAUUUUCUUCUUUCAUUCAAUUGUUUGAUUGACCAAAUGCUAAGUUUGGUAAGGUGAUGACCCAACUAGUUUCAUCCAUUAGAUUCUUAUCGGCCAAGCAGGUCAGACAACAGAGUCACAUCACAAUGCUGCUAUUCUCUGUGUUUUUUUUUUUUUUUUUUCCCUUAAGGUAGAAAGUGGGAUAACAGUGGCAAAAUGCUAUGAUCGUUUUCAUUGAAUUGAUUGGAGCACCUUGAGAGAGAUAAAUCUAGGAAGAUUUCAUUUCAUUGGCCUCUUUUUUAACCUUUCUUUUUAAGAAUAUGUUUGGCUGGCGUUAGGCAACCACUAAAGUCUGUUGGAAAAUUCCACUUGAAGCAGAAUCUUGUUGCAAUCGAGAGCUUUUGUAAUGGCGUUGAAGGGAACGUACUCAAAGUUGAUGCACCAAAAGAUCCCAUUUACUUGAAUAAUAAUUGGAGACUGAUGAGAGAUAUUGUGUGGUCGCUGAAGCUUAUAUAUCUUGAGGCCAAAUCCUCAACCAGUUGCAGCAAUGAUGGUUGCUAAUGAUAAUACCACAACAUCCAUAAUGCUUACAGCUUAUACCCCAAUAUUCUUGACUUUAUAUAUUAAAGAAAAUCACUGUUUAUAGAUUCUAAAACGUUUGGUGGGUGAUACUUUAUUGAACUAUUUCAAUUAAAUUGGACAAGAGUCUUGGCCGUUGUUUAGUGUAUUAGGACUGAAGUUUUUAAAUUGGACACAGUUCAACAUAUUUUGUCUUAUAAGUUCCACCUAGAGGGUAAAAUUCAUAAAAACUGACUUAUACUCAACUUCAAUUCAAUCCAAUCCGGACGACCAGACAAAAAAUAAAUAAAUGUAUAGAUGUUAAAGAGUUGCUCAACUUGAACUUUCUUGGGUCCCUCCAUGGAAAAGAUUACAAGCCCCAUCUCCUUGGCCGGUAAUGUGAGAAAGUAUUGGGUGGCAAUAGUAUUACUGAUAUCAUAGUGAUUUCUGUCCUUUUUUUCUUAUAAUGACACCACUUUGAGUGGUUCUUCUCCAUCCAUUUGGCAAAGCCUGUGUGGAGGGAGGACAAUGUGCAGGGGGCUCUGUUCUAUUCACCCUCAAAACUAGGCAAUCCUCAUGGCAUGUCUUACUGGGUUUAUUCAUUUGGACACAUUGGACUAUUAUUACCUGGCCGGCAAGAAAAUUCAUGAUUUUUAUUGUUGCCAUUGUUUUUAGACUCUCUCAGUUUAUAGUAUCUACAAUUCAAUACGUUGCCUCCAAGGCAGGUAGUCUUGGUUGGAUUUCAAACACGAAACGUUUUAAACGUUGUAUUUGGAUCAAUGGAUUUAAAAUUGAUGAAGUUUUUAUAACAUGUUGAAAGUUAUUUCUUUACAGAAAGUCUAUUUUGCCGGCCUUAGCUCUUCACAAUAAAAACAAGGCAGCUAGAACAUAACAGAAGAUGGUUGGAUGUUAAAAUGAGGCAUUAUUAUUAUAAUAUGAGACGAGUUGAAUGUUUGAUUUAUGUACGUUGACGUUUUUGUCCAAUCGAACUCACCCAAUGCAUUGGAUGUGCCCUCACAAUAAAAGACAAUAAGGUAGGGUUUUUGUUUCCUUCUGUUAUUGACUAAUAUUUAAAUAAAAAACACUGGAACAUGCACUGAAGUGGCAUUUAAUCCAAGUGUAAACAACUGAAUUUUUCUUGCUGUUGGUCCCUUAGGCCUGCUGAAACCAUCUCAGAAUUCAAAGUCUUGGUCUUGGCAAUAAAACAGCAAACAAGAAACAAAGAAGUGCAACAGGGGACUUUGAAUGUGCUGGAAAUUUGAUGCUGAAACGCAGAGUAUAUUUUACUGCAACCAUGGGGUGGGGGGAGAUCUUUAUCUAAGACAUUCUAGACAAGAAAGAAUAAUAUAUGAGGGUGGUUGAUUUCUCUUUGGCUCAUGUGGGUUUAGUCCAAAACCAAAUCAGACGUUUAGAAUUAUAGUAGUCUUGGCCUAGCUAGCUAUCAAGGAGGCAUCAUAGUCAACGCAUUUGGAAAACUAGUAAACCAAAAAUGAUGUUUAUAAUGACGCAAAUUAAUGAAAGCGUAACGACCAUAUUUGCUUCAUGAUAUACAUGUUGAACAUUAGAAAUCUAAAGCUGUUAUGCUUGUUGAAUUUCGCACAUUGGUUUUUUUUUCUUUUUCUUUUUAUAUUAAAUUACAGAGGAUUCCUUGAUUCACAGAUUUUAAAUAAAUAAAUAACACAAGCAACAGUAAAAAAAUACGUAGCACUGGAUAGGAAAAUAUGCAUGAAACAGAGUGGAUGGGAAUUGAACCAAAAGAACAGUUAUUGAAAGCCCGUAUUGUGUUAUGGGCUGAAAUGUUUGUUCUAGAUAGGUAUUAUGAAAGGACUUGGGGUUGGAAGUUGGUCACGGGAGGGGCUAAAGACCUUAAAUAAGACUCUAUCUCUUAAUCGUUAGAUCAAUUUAGUUAGUUAUUGGAUUAAAUUAGUUAGUUUGAUCCAACGGUUUAAAAAUAGAACCUCAUCUAAUGGUUUUAGAUAAGGCCCCCACUAUAUAGAAUAACUUGGGGAAAGAUCCAAAGACAUAAAGUGAGAGAGAUCAGAAAUUCAAUCCAGGCAAGUCUCUUGAAGCUCAUUAAUUUUCAAGCAAAAGUAUGUUGUUUCAUUUCACAUUUUUCUUUACUACACACUGGAAAAUAAAAAUGAAUGUUAUAAAACUAAAGGGAAUUGUAGACAACAAUAAGAGGAAGAGAAAUACAGAGAAUUUGUUCUAUGAAUUUGUAUCAACUUAUCUUAUUCAUCUUUGAUAAGAGCCUAUUUAUAGGCUUACAAUAGAGGUAUUUAACCCAUAAUUUAUCGCUACUAAUUACAAUAAUAAGGGCAUAGGUUACAAAGCAAUAAGGGGUGGAGCUAAUGGAUGUUAUGGUGGUCAUCCAUAUUCCAUAGAUUUAUAACAAUGAAGAUAUUAUACUUCAGCCUUCAGGGUUUCUCAAAUAAAUAAAUGAAAAAAAUCGAAGUUUUUCUUUUCUGAAAUUUCCAAAAAUUGAUUGGAAAAUGAAUUAAAAAAGAAAAGCUAAAAAGGUUGGUCCCUUAUAACUUACUUUACCAUUUUAGGCGACUCAAAAGUUUAAUUGUAUUUCAAGCUGAAGCUGGCUGGUGUGUCUUUGUCUGCAGUAAAUGAGUUCAUUGCUUAGGCACAAGGAUGUCAAAAUCACUAAGAGUCCAUUCAGCAACUUGAUCAGGGUCUUUGAAAAUUUCAACCCCUAAAUCUAUAGACAUCCAUUGCCUUCUAGCUGGUGGGGUUCCUGGAUCCUGCAAAUAAGACAUCAAACCAUAGCUCAACUUAGUAUAUGUCACAAGCAAUAUUGUAGCAAAAUUUAAUCUGUCACAGGGCAAACAAUAUCAAACCUGGUAAAAAUAAAGUGAUUGUGACAACCUCCCAACAUCCAGCUCCCAUGUUCUUGGAUCCCCAAUCCAACCCUCCCCUUGCUUUGUAGGGUAUCCGUACUCACCCCAAACCGGGUGUGGCAAGAUUUGCAAAAUCUCCUGAGGCUGAGGGUUGCUAUAUGGAUCACACAAGUUAAAAGGAGCCUCUAGAUGCUCCCCGUUCCCCGGCGAGCAGUACAAGUGAUAGGCGGCGUAAGGGAAGCGGGCAGUGUCAUUUCGAUGAACCCGUGUGCCGUUUGGGAAUGUGUGGUAAGGUGGGCACACAUUGAGGUUGUUUGCAUGGCACCAUGAGGUUGUGUUUGGAUUUAUGAUCAUUUCACUGUAUCUGGUAACAUCUGAAGUCACAUUGCCAUCACAAGGCUUCCCAUUGUUCUUCCAACAGCUCCCCAUGUCCAUGAGGUAGAACUGGCUGCUAGGACCCCCACCUUUGAUCACAUUCAAGGUGAACCUCACUUUAAAAUUGGGUGAUUCUGGAAUCUGCAUUGCAAUUGGCAAUAUUUGAGUAAACCAAGUAUCUUCAUCCUCAAGAAAGUUUUGCUUCCAAGCAAAAGCAAAACUUAUGAAAAGUAUGCUUUCCUAACAAAGAUUAGCACAAAAGUUUUCUUAGAUAAAACUUGUAUAACUAUAUAAAAGGGUUACUCACAAUUUUGGACAUCCCUCUUGUAGGGUAAUGGUAGCCACCAGAAAACCCAUGUGUGGCGUCUGAUCUCAAGUAAAGCAUCAGCCAAGGAUACUUUGCUGAAGUCCUCAAGACAUGGUGGAAAACCCAGCUUCCCUCUCCAAGUUUCUUUUCCCAAGUAACAGAAUGGUAAGAAAUAUUCCCAACCAUUCCUCUGCUCAAAUCUGCAUCCAAAUCCCAUGACCCGAAAAACCGUCCCUUUAGAGUCAUAUCAGGCAAUUGCAACUUGGUAUAGUCAUGGUAAAUAGAUGGCUGGUUCAUGCACCCUUUUCCAAAACAAGGAAAGGUAUUUUGAUCAGGAAAGGGUCCGACUCGGUGACCAUUUUUGGGGCAUUUGGCAGCAUAAGUGUCCAUGUUGCCACUCUUGAGCAUGAUCAUCCAGAAUUGCCACGGAUUUGGGGUGUCUUCAACUUGGCAUUUAAAUCCCAGGUACAGUUCCUUCUCUGCCGCAUAAAGGUCUACGUUAAACUGAGACUCUGCCUGCAGGCCAAAGAAAGGUUCUCCCAUCCUUAACUUGUUGUCUUGCUCUGUGACUCUGUGGACUAAUACAUAGGGCAGCUGCUGAUUGCAGAAGCAAACUUCUCCUGUUAUAUAACAAUUAUACAACAACAAAAAAAUACAUAAGAUUCAUAAACUACUUCUUUUGCUUGCUCAAAUUCAAGCACAUUAGCGCUAAGAUUGCUGAGGGAAUAAAAAUUUCAUUGAUCACAUAGGUUUUAUAACAAAAAACAAUCAGAAUUUCCAUGUGCUUCUUCUAUCUUCUAAUUUACAUAACAUAGUUCAAGUAAAGAAAGAAAAAAGUGCACAGAAACUAGAAGAGAAAAAAAAAAGGGAUCAAAAGGAAAAGGAGAAGCUAUACAUACCUUGUGGCUGCGGAGUAGCUUUGUAUAUGUCAAAGCAAUCAGCAGCCCUUGGGCUGCCAAUCUGAAGAGCUUCUUCUCCAACCUCAUUGCACUGAUUCCAUGACUCUAUCGCCACCCGUAGAUUGUCCCUUCUCAUCCCCGAAUCACCGACGGCUGAUAUAAAUUCAUUCUCAGCCCUCACAGACAAAACCACAUUCCAGAAAAUGAGAUUCACCAGAACAAAAACAAGAAAACAACAUGAGAUUUUGCUCUGUUUAGCCAUUUGGUGACAAGUUAAGAUAUGUAUAUUGAUGUAAUGUGCAUUUAUAUACCAAAGAAAGACUGCAAAAGUUUGAUUAAGUGUUUAAAAUGGAAAAAUGGGCAAUCAAAACUUUUGAUUUGAAGAGUUUUGUGUUUUAGGAGAAUUACUUGGUGAACAAGAUUUUAGAUUUCCAGUUUGCAUGGAGCAUACUCUUAUUAAAUACUUAUGCUUUGUUUAAGGAGGUUUAAUAAUGUGCGGCUCUCAUUCUCAUGGAAGGUAUCCUUUGUGACAGUUGUAUAUAAAUUAUCAUGUUGUAACCAAUGUGAUAAUUAUAUCAUCUAUGUUGCAUUAAUCUAGUUAUGAGAUUGAGAAUUUAUAGGAUACUAUACGGUGAUAAGAAAAUCUUCAAAAAUCAUCCUGCAAAGAUUACAGGAAUAAAAUAUGGAUAAUGCUACGGAAACCAAAUUUAUACACUAAAUUUGAGUCCCUAAUGAGAUGUCAUCUGUCAUAUCAUCGAUUUUUAUUUUUAUCUGUUAAAUUACAAAUAGACCACAGCACCCUCAUGGAUUAUUAUUAGUGAGUUUGGUGCACAUUCUCUUUCAUAUUGUGUCAAAUUGGCAAUUAAUUCCUUGAACCGACUUUCCCACCAGAAAAAAAAAGAAACGGACAAACCGAUUUUUCCUCGCAAACAAAACCACUCUCCUAAUUUCCUUUUCCCACGACACCAAAAACAGGGUUUGAGAAGGAAAAGAAAACGACCGUUUUCCAAAGAACGCAGACUCAGAAAUUAUCAUUUGAAGAAGUAACAAAACAAACUAACAUCAUAAAUUUCAUUUUAGGAAGAUUGGAAAUUAGGACCACAUAUACCAUUUCAAGUAAAGGUUGGUUUUUGGUUGUAAAUUAGUCAAGGGAAAGAAACCAACUUCAUAAACUGUGUGUGUGAUGUUUGUUUUGCAAUGACAGCCAAUUCUUGAGUUGAGUCUGUCUCAUUUUGGGUCCAGUCCUGCAACAGACAGGACAGGACAACCUCAAAUCUGGAUUGCAUUGGACCAAGUUGUAAUGAUGACCUAUCAAGGUUGGUGCACAUAUGACCAAAACUAGUUCCUUCAUGAGCAAGAUUUACAGGAGCUGAAGGAAGAGCACCAUCCAGUUAGGAGGAUAUGUCCCCUUUACACCCCAUACCUUUGAUUUGGAUGACUUUGAAAAUGGACCCUUUCUCCUCUCAUGCCUUUAUUCACACGCAAGCCUUUGGAUAUGACUUAAUCAUUAAUCUAAAUUCAAAACGACUAAUAAUUGCAACGUUUAAGUUUCUAAAAAACCUGUAGAACCCUUCUGUCAAAAAUCCAUUUUUCAUGAGACAGACAUUUAAAAGAAACCAUUUGUGAGAGUUUUAUUUCUAUUUUUAUGGCUUGGUUUUUUCAAGCUUUAUCUCUUUUUGGUUGUUCCGAGUUUGCAAUCUUAGUUGGGAUGCCUAUGCCAAAAUUUCUUCAAUCAUGCAUAAUUGUUAGUGGAGAUGUACCAGAUUGUCUUAAUUUUUAUGUUAGAUCGUUUCGUCAUUAUAAUGGCGAUUUGUGACUAGCUUGUAUUGGCAAUUUGUGACUAAUGACUUUUUUUGCUGAAUUAUGAAUGCAAUUCCAGAAUUUCUAAAAGAAAAAUAAAAGGAACCAAAUUCAUGCUAAUUAUGAUAUAACUAUGUGCUCUAAAAAAUUCUCUGGUAAUUGAUGUUAAUUUCCCUUAAAUCUUUUCAUCAACUCUCUAUCAACCCUUGAUUACUUCCAUCAACCUCCGGUCGUGCCUUAAUCUCACCUCCUUUGCAACUUAAUUUUCUGCCUUAAUCUUAUACAACAAUUAUUCUUCUUCAAAUCCCUAAAUUUAUAAUUAAGCUGUCUUUAUCCUUGUUGUAUUUGCUUAAUUAAUUCAUUUGCAUUCUAAAUUGGGCUUCUGCACAAAAUUUCUAAAGCCCCAACUUUCUGAUCAGCCCAACCCAAUUAAUUCACAGCUCUUUUACAUUCAACGACUCUGGCCCACUAUCCUAGUCUUUUUGACCAAAGUAGAAAAACAAAAUUCAGGACCGAAGACAAAGCAGAAAAGGCAAAAGGGCUCCCACAGAUUUUAUAUCUAAGCAGUGAAUAUGACCAAAAAGGACCGUGUAUAUAUAUCCGAGACCUCUUUGUUAUCUGUGCUCCAAACAAAGCAAAACACAUAAAAACUUGAAAAUAUAAAUUGUAAGGACCAUUCCAUUAUGUAAUUGAAGAAGCUUGCAUCCCAUCUUUUUAUUUUGGGGUACUUUUUUUAUUGAGAUGGGUGAUAGCAUAUUAAACUCAUAUACACUACACGAAUUUUAGAACUCGAACUCAAAAUCUCCUAAAAAGAGCAUUUGUUCCAAACCACUACACUAAUUGGUCAUUUGCAGCUUGCCUCCGUCUCCAAGCCUAGUAGGUGUUUUAAAACUCAGACAAUGACACGAAAGUGAGCUACUCCUAGACAUCCUAUCCUUGACAUACAUUCUACGUAGUGUCAAUUAAUGAAUUGGCUUGAUUUUGUUCUGUCCAAAAGAACAGAAGAUUGAAGAGGGUGCAGUUUUUAUUAAUGAGAAGCUACUCGAAUUUGUGGGGCUACUAUGUAAUAGAGGUCCUAUAAUGAUGGGGCACAUAGCUUUUCCAAUUAGAAGGCAAAAAAGUAGGAAAAAGUGCGUGAGUGGUCACAAGAUUUAGGGCGGGCCUUUCUUUUGAAAAACACAACACAAAACCAGUAAGACGACCCACGUUCCUAUUAACAGCCUAACUGCCCCUCUAGCUUCUGCUGUUGCUGCUGCUAGAGUCUCACUUCAUCAUUCAUUAUCCAUCUUCCUUUCAGUUCCAAGCCAUUUCCUUCUCUGCAAUUGCAAGCAGUCCAAAAUUCUUGGACAAUUCUCCUCAUCCCAACACAAGGGAGUUUCAGAUAGUCAGUGUCAUAUUAUGAAGUGGGGUAGCAAAAAGAAAAGGCCUCCACCUAUUUCCUCUUCAUCAUCUUCUUCUUCUCAGCCUUUCUUGAUUUCUCAUGUCUUUCCCACUUCAUGGCUUUCAAAGUUCAAGCAGAAGGGGGGCAAUUCAGAACCAAAACCCAGUAAAGUAAAUAGAAAAGGGAAGCAGAAUUCUCCAUCUUUGGGUUCACCAAGGUUUGCUGCUGCUAAGGGUGGUGGAAGAUUCUAUGGUGUAGUUGAUGAUGAUGAUGAUGCAUUUUGGAGACUAUCUUUUGGUGAAGAUAGUGCUGAAGUGAAGAAAAACAGAGGGGUUUUGAGAUCGGUUUGGUUUGAUUCAGAUGAUGAGUUUGAAGUUCAGCCCUCCAGUCGUGGAAGCUGUCAAACAAGUGAUAGAAUAGUGAAGGGAAGAGAUUUGUCUCAGAAGUUGAAGGGCAUGCAGAAAAGUGGGAAUGCUAAAGAGUGGAAAUUGAGGAAGGAAAACAGAGAACUUGAAGGAAAGAAGUUGUUGAAAUUAGAAAGAGAUGCUGAUAAAGCAGAAGAGACAUCAACAGAAACAGUAGAAAGUGAUGAGGUGGAAAUGUUAGCGGCAAGAAAAUUUUGGGCAACUGAGACUGAUGCAAGAAAACAUCAGUAUGUAUCUUCACUGAAUUCAAGAAAUUCAAGUCUAAAAACGAUUCAAGAAGAAGCUUUGAACUUGGAGACUGAAGAGCCUUCUGAAGAAAAACAGCCUUCAGAUUGGCAAAAAUUGAAAGAACGGAAAAUACAAGAGGUGAAGUCAAAGAGUGAGAAACAUAGGAAAUCUCUCUACAUAAGCAGGGAAUUACAGAGGAGAAGAACAAAACGUAGUAGCAAAGUCAGAGUUUGUUCUCCAAGAACAGCUUCAAGGGUUGAAAUCUGUAAAAUUAAAGCUCUUGAAAACAUGACGAAAGCGAAAAUGAAGAUGAAAAGGGUGGCUAAGGAGGGAGCAGUGCAGCAGGUAAGAACAGGCUUGAAUAGCUUUGCAGUGGUAAAGUGCUCAUUUGACCCACAACAGGACUUCAGAGAUUCCAUGGUUGAGAUGAUUGUGGAGAAAAAGAUAACCCAGCCAGAGGAUCUGGAAGAGCUCUUAGCUUGUUAUCUGACCCUGAAUUCUGAUGAAUACCAUGAUCUCAUUGUCAAGGUAUUCCGGCAGGUAUGGUUCGACUUGAAUCAGGCCAGUUUCAGUACUGAAUUACAGAACGAACAAUGUAGCAGUGACUGAUUUCUCUUUAGCUAAUUAUAGCCAAACUUGUAAUCAAAUUGUAAUGUGGUAGAUAUAACUGUUAUGUUUCUAAAUGCAUGAACUCUGCACUUCUAGCUUUGAUCUUAUCGCUUCAAAUUUGUGAAGUUUAGCAACCGAUGACAAUGCAGGAUUACAAUGUGUACAAGAUGCACAAAUGUGAGGAAAUAGUUAAGGUGGCAAACCCAGUUUCAAUCUUCGAACCCACAAAAAUCCAUACAGACGAUCAAAUCAAUAGUAAAAUGUCACUUGAUUGAGAGGAACCUAUAACCACAAGAGUCAAGACUUUAUCAAUAUUAGGAACGCAAAAGGGUGCAAAAAACAAAAACCAUGAAAUAUAUGAGUUCGGAAUUAAAUAAUUUUCCACAAAUAGUCGGGUGGACCAUGGAGCCUUUGCCGAAUAGAGGACCUGGAGCAACUGGUUAACAGUAUGCAAGUUCUGUAACAUUCCAAAUUCAAGCAAAUUGUGCAAGCUGCCAGACCUUGCAUUAACUCAUUGCCCCAGUAAACAAAGCCCUAUUGUAGUAAAGGAGGAUGAGAUUAGAAGGAAAAGCAUGUGGGUUUUGGACCAAAAAAAAAAAAGCAAUGAAAUGUUAUUUUCACGAUAUAAGAAUAGUAACAAGCAUAUACUAAGAAACAAGAUUGAAGUAAAGAUGGAAUCAAGGGAAAGAUGAACUCAAACAUAGAAGAUCUAUUUAUAACCAGAACAAAACAUUUAUGCCAAAGAGCAUGUAACAUGUGAGCCACUGGGCAUCAAAAUCCCAAAUAAAAUAACUAGUAUCACGUUUUCUCUACUGGAGUAAGAUGCCCCAUUUGUUCUGUAAGGUUAUUUACAUUCCUCAUAUUCCACCACAACUUGCCAUGAUCAGCAGGUUUGCUUUCGUUCUUUCUACCAUCAGAAUCCCUUUUUUCCAACUGAACUUCCUGAGCUUCCACUGAACCAGGAUUCUCAGUCAAGAAGUGUUCCCAGAAUACGUCAUUCACGCCAGUUGGCGCGGAAGCAGUGAUUCCAGAUGUUUGUUCUUUUGAGGAAGUAGGCUCAGGAGGUACAGCUGCAGCAGGCUCAGGAGCAACAACUACAUCAGGUUCAGAAUUCAUGUCAAUUCCCGGGGAUUUAGGCUGAGCGUCAACAUUAAGUUGUAUUGAAGAUAUAACUGCGCUUUCGACACAACUUGUAGACUCAUCCAACUCCACGUUUGAAACAACCUGAAUAUGAGUCUCUCCAACAUCAAAAAUGGUAUCUUCCCAAAAUGUUAGGAAUGACUCCAACUGCUCCAACUUUUCCAUAUCCGCAUUUUCUCUAAUACCAGCUUGUGAACUUGCCACCUGAUUAUUUCCAUUGCUCGCUUCAUCAUAAGACCAACCGAUUCUUGGCAACCUUCUCUUUCGCCCAUGGAUUUCCAAUUGCGGAACAGGAUUGGAGGCAAUCCCCGGUUUCUGCAAAACCCGGGCCACGAAACCGGCCAUGGUUUGCUGCUGCCUUUCCAUGUGUUGCAAACGUUCCUUCAAGAACUGGAUUUGCAACUCCAAUCCCUGCCGCUCCUGCUCAUGCCGCUGUAACUCCACACCAAGGCGUUCUUUCUCAUGUUUAAGCCUCUCGAUUUCAUCCUUCAUACUCUGCCUUUCAGAUUCGGAUAAGGAAGUCCCAUUCCCCUGGACUUGGAGAUUCUGCAAAGAGUGACUAUGAACCGGCUUUCGUCUAUGGAUAUUCUUCAUAAGGUGUGGCUGACCUCUGAUAAAAUCGUCAUUGGCAAAUUCCCAUUGUUCCGGAUCAAUUUUUCUGAAACCCUAUUGUAAGCAUUUAAAUCAAAUUAAGGAACUAAAAAACUAUAAAGAUAUGAUAAAUACCAAUGUAAAAACAACUGAAGCUGAAUGAAAGUAGAAACUUGAUUGACUUACGUAUGUAUUGAGCUGCCUGAUGAAGCUAGAGAAGUUGUUGUGCUUGAAGAACUUUGGCAGCAAAUCUCUGGCAAACUCCGGCGGGUUCCAAACAAUAAAGCUCUUAUUACUGGCACUCCAAGACACAAUUGAAUCGGUUGAAGCAUCAUCCACCAUAUCAUAGGUCUUGGAAAGGAAAGGCGGCAACGAGCUGGCGCCACCUUGAACUUCAUCCAUCCUAAUCAAUCCCCCAAAAUCACCAACCCAAAUUCGAAACCCAGUAUUAAAUCAUCAACCACUUCUCAAAACUCCAAAAUCACAGGCAAAUUAACUCCUUCAAGCUCUCCUGUAUAUGCAGGACCAAGAAUUCAAUCCAGAAACCUCAAAUUUCCACUCUUUCAACCCAAAAACCGAAACUUUGCAAGGAAUUAGGGAACCCAAGAUCCCGCUUGAAAAGCCUUUGAAUUCCCACCUGUGAAGGCCUUACCUUUCCAAGGAAUUAGGGGAACCCAAUUGAAAACCCAUUGAUUUUCCACCUGGGGUUUUGAAAUUGAACCCAAUUAAUAAAAUAAAAAUAAACCAAUGGAAGACUGGAAAACUGUAAUUAAUUAGCUGAUGGCCAGAAGUCUGGGUUCAGUCAAAACCCAAAGAAAAUGGAAGGCAAUUGACCAUAAAUCCCCUGAUAAUUUCAACUAAGCGUGUGCCCCAAACCUACCGUAAUAAUCGAAGUCCUAGACACACAAUAAUUGGCGGUUACCGCAAUAUUAUACCCCAAAAAAACCACAUAUUUGUUUUUAGUUGGAGAAGUUCGAGAAACCAAAGUCGCAUUUUUGACGAGUCGUUUGCUGGUUGCAACAGUUCCACAGACUACAAUUCAGUUCCCAUUUCAAAGUCAGAAAUUUUGAAAAUCAAAGAAGAAAAAAAGAACAGAGAGAGAGAGAGAGAAACAGAAAGCUUGGAGCAAAAGCAACAAGAAAUUGAUAAGAAUAGAAAGGGACAGGAACUAGAGAAGUUGCAGAGAAGAGACGGCUGAUUGGCUUCGCAAGCAAAGGUCACCAGUCGACGACCCCGAGACCCCGAAACCCCAAAACGAUUCGUUUUUCGCUUCUGAAUUUUCGAAUAUUUUGGGAUCCUGGUUCUCGAAACGCGUAAAGAAUUUUAUUUCCCACGGAAUUUUAUAUUAUUCCAUAAAGAAUAAAUACAAUAAAAUAUUUUUCUUUUUUUCCUUUUUAAUUAUUUCGAAUAUUCGGAUUAGGUUAGCUUUAUCCUUCAAUCUGAAAUGGACUAAUGGACUUGGAGACGACAUUGUCUCUGUUGUCGUUUAUGUAUGGGAAAGGUACGGUGACGUGUAUGCUUUGGUGGUGCUAUAUUCAAGGGAUCUGCAACCAAUUGGGGAUGCGUAAGGCCGAGUUUGUUUAAUCAAAAGCACCACGAGAGGCGGUUUUUUAAAGGAAAGGUAAGCAUCGUGUAACGUCUACCGUACACGUGGUUUGACGAUAUCGCGUUACGCCACAACACGUUUUGCUGGAUAAGUAUGAAUAUGUGCGUACUUUUUAUUUAAAUGCGACUUUAGGGUAGGUGAUAUUUUUGUAUUUAUGGGGAAAUAUUUGACGAUGUGUCCUAUAAAACAUAGAGUAUUUUGUGAUUUAAUUUAAAAGUAUACUUUGUCCCUCUCUAAUCGCACGGGGAUUAGCGGUCGCUUUGACUUUCAGGAGUUUAAGCAUACAAAAAUGACAAUGACUAAUCCAAAUAUUUGCAUAAUCAAGCUACUCGAUCGACCUAAUUAUACCUAAUUUAGGAGCAAUUGUGGUUUAAAUAUAAGCGGGACCCUAGUUGGAUGCAGGUUUGACACGUCUGAGAGUUCUCUUUUGUUCUGCAGGCUCAACUUCAUUGAUUUGGAACCUAUGGAGAGUGGUUAAAAUUCUAAAAAUAAAAUAAUGUCUAUAAAAUGUAACUACUUUACGCAAAUUAAUUUCUCAAGAUUAUAUGAUAUUUUACGUUUUACUUUCACGCUAGGGAUUAAAUAUGGCCCAGAAAUGGGGUUUGACUUGGACAAAAUUCCAGCCCACCUAUGGCGUAAUGGUUAGGACUUGGGCUUAAGAACGUUCAAAAAAAUUAGGCAGAGCCUAUGGACCAGUAAGUAACCACCAGUUUCCCGCGCAGAAUAAUAUCUUACACUCAUUUUGAGAAGGCAAAUUAAUUAAUUUUUUCUUCUUAAUACAAGCAAAGGGGAUGAUGCAAAAGAUAGAACCUCGUAAAUUUAAAUGUUUUUAACCAACGAAGCUACAUAUUCUUUACAAUUUAUUCUUAAUUACAUAAUUUUGAUACUUGUUCCUUUUUUGGCUAAUUAUACAGAGCAUAUGUUAAAAUGUAAGACCAUGUAAAUGCAAAACUCGCCUUUUCUCAAUACAUUAAAAAGAAUUUUAGGUAUAUAGAUUACGUCAAAAGAUAUAACAUUUCACCUAGUUUUCUUCUUAUGUUCUUCAUUCAAUAUCCAAGUUAUUUCGAAUGUUUGAACAAUUUAUGUUUCAUGAUUUACACGUGUUUAAUUUUAGAUUUAAUAGUCAUAUUAAUAAAAUAAUAAAAUAACAACCGAAAAAAAUCAAGUUAUAUAAUUUUUUUACUUAAAGCUUGUAUCUCAUCAACGAUCAAAAAUCACUCACGAUUUUGUAACUUUCAACUUAGUAAAAUCCAAGAUAGAAUACAUAGCACAAAGCAAAAGAGUGUACCAAUAAAGAGAAAUAUGGAGAGCUGAAAUUGAAGAAAUGAAACAGUGUCUCUGGUGCCUCGUGGGUGGCGGGCAUAUCGGGCAUCACAUGGGCCCACCGAUGGGACUGACAUGAUUAACGUUAUAUAUAGGACGGUGGUCCCCACCACCACCACCGCCACUAUACCAUACCAUAUCAUAUCCCACAAAUCCACAAUCGGUGCCACGCACCAUGGGGCAGCAGCAGCAUUACACAAAAGCAACUCUCUCCUCCUCUUGUACACUUGUCAAUUAAAAAAAAGAAACGAAAAAAAUCAAAUUCAAAUCAGUGGCGGACCCAAUGCCACGGCCUCCAAUCGGGUUUGAUACGCUGGUUGAGUCCGCGGCGCACGUGUAGUUGGUUGAAUUUUGGGGCGAUGGACGACCCGUCGUGUUAUUAAAUAUAUGGGGGGCUCACUGCUCACAAUCUUUCAAUAAUAAUAUCUUAUCUUAUGCGAUAUUGUAAUUUGUAACCAAAGAGCAAGCUACCAAAACAUUGCAGCUUGCUUGUCUCACCUUACAAUUUAUUAAAAUUGCAACAUACAAAUCACAUCAAAUUCUAAUGUCCUAAAUUUUGUUAUUUCAUUGAAACAUGGUGCCCUUCAAGCAAGGAUGACAAUUUUAUAUUGAUUUUUUCUUUCAUAAUGGGGCGAGUCGAGGAAUUCAUUUCCCAAUGAACUCUAUUUCCAGAGUUACGAACAUAAUAUAUUAUUUUUCUCAUUAACAAUAUAUCAUCUAUAAGUAGCACACAACAAGCCAUAUAUGCUAAUGAUCGAGCAUGAAAGCUCUACGAAUGCUACGGAUUAAUUGAGACUAAACUCAUCUUUUGUAAGUUUUAUUAUGAAGUGAGGAAUGAGUUGCUAUGUUAUAAUGUUAAAUUGCAUAUAAUAUUAGCAAUCAAACCAUUAUGAGUCACAACACAAAUUGUGUGACAAAUAAUCUUUGAUAAGACUUGUAAGAUUGUGAAUGCAAGCAUUUAUAUUUAUGUGAUGAGGAUUGAAUGUCUAUGAGUUACAAAGUGGGCAGAAACCACCUGGGGUCCACACUGAAGAAAUAGGAAAUGAACCCUUGUAUAAAAAAGGGAAAACAAGGCAAAAAGACAGAGAUGGUGAGCAGGAGGAGGGUACAUUGCCAAUUCCAUCAAUGAGAAGCUAAUUUGGAAGGUGGCGCAUAGCAGGAGAUACAUAUGGGCCCCGCCUCAAAAGCCCACCCUUCUCUGCGCGCUAAAAGCCUUCACCGUCUGGAUGUCAAUGAUGUCAGUCUCUUAUUAUCAGUAGUUAUAUUGGAUCCAUCAGUCCACUCACGCAAAAAAUAGAUAACCAGCGCCAGCAUUAGUCACGUGAUCUCAAACCAACAAGAAAAGACUCAGUCAGUCUACACUACAGUACAUUAGAACAACAAACUUCUUCGGAACGAAAAUAAUACUGUUUUAUUAUUUACGGUCAGUUAUAAUAUAUUACGUGUAAUAAUUUUUUACUUAAUGUAUUAUAAUUAAUUGAAAAUAAGAAAACAGUAAUAUCCCGUUUCACACAACAAAAGGAGAAGAAGAGGAGGGAGAGAGAUAGUGCGGCAAAGGCCAAGUACCAACCAACACACGAAAACAAACUCACACUCACGCAUCACACACACUGACAAAAGACAAAAGUGGCAGCAGUAGCUACAGCUACCUGAGACAUCCCCACGCUGUGUUGUGGCCACCGCAACCGCACGCCGGCAUGCAACCAGGCCCCGCCGCUCCUUUACCUGGCCCCCACCUCCCCCCUUACCCCCAAACAAGCAAUCACAACUCUGGGUCCCAUUGUCCACUCCCUCCUCCAAUCCAAUCCAAUCCUUCUCAUGUUUGACAUUUUCAUUAGACCUACACCUCUCACCUAGCUUAUAGUAAUACAAUUAGCCACGCUACUCCACAUAGUCCUAGCCUAAUUAAAGCAAAUAACCAAUUUCAUUAAUUUGGUGUAUUGUUGUGUAAAUACAUAGUAGGCAAGGCAAUCAUGAGUGAAUCAAUAGUUAGAUAUCGUUAACAAGCAACUAGACAAAUUCCAUUACUAAGAAAAAGAGAAAUACAGUUAAAUUAAUAGCUUUAGUCGGUGCGUGCAAACAAAUAUUUUAUUCAUUAAAAUUAAUAUGAAAAGGAGAAGUUAAAUUUGGAUAUUUUCAAACAUUAGACAAUUGUGCGUAGUACAACUAAACUAUGCUUAAACCCUUGCACCACUCGUAGUUUAAUCUCUAAUAGUUGAAUUAGAAGCCUAGUCCAACACUCCAAUUAGCAUGAACCAAAAAAGAUUAAGGUCAAGGUGGAUUUGUCAAAAUUAGGCAACCUGGUCAAGUGAAUGCGACCGUUUGAAAAAAAAAUAUGAUGGUCCACAGAUACCAUUAUCAUGACAAGCCUAAUCAUAACCUUAUCCCCCUUCCCUUUACAUACCCAAUUUCCCAUUUUACCCACCAUUCUCCUUAACCCAUAAUCACUUGUGCUGGUUGGCUGGCAGAGGGAAAAUACAUGGAUCUAGAAGCAAUUAUUAUCAAGUCCUAUAAAAAAUAUAUUCAAAACGACACCGUUUUAUCGUAGUGUUGUACAUUACCUGGUCGCAAGUAGCGGCCGCGAAGGACCACCCCGCCCUUUUUAAAAAGCCUAAACACGUGUUAAGGCCCGUGAUUCCGGAGUCAGAGCCAACAAAAACAAAUAAAAAGAAGAGACUGCCACUCUCGUAAUUUACCAAAUCAACAAUGGCAAUUACAUUCUCCCGUUGUAUUUAGCUCUCACCCUCCCCCAAAACCCCCCCCUGUCUCUCUCUCUCCUCUCUCCCUCUCUCGCUCUUUAUUAUUAAAAACCAUUCUCCAAACAGAAACCGCCAAUUCCCGGUUUGCCGGCUGGUUCGCGCCACCGGUCGUCACACUCCGUUCGGGUUAGUCCGUUUGGCUCCCGAGAAAACCAGAAUCGCCACCGAAUGAUGACGUCGGGAACGAGAAUGCCGACGUGGAAGGAGAGAGAAAACAACAAGAAGAGAGAGAGGAGGCGCAGAGCCAUCGCCGCGAAGAUCUACUCGGGCCUGAGGAUGUACGGAAACUACAAGCUACCGAAGCACUGCGACAACAACGAAGUCCUCAAAGCUCUCUGCAACGAAGCUGGUUGGACCGUCGAAGAAGACGGCACCACUUACCGAAAGGUAUAUAUAGUUCCUUCAUCCUUGCUCUCUCUCUCUCCCUCUCAAAUUCUCAAAGCCAUUUUUGCUCAAUUCGCUUGCGGUAAUGUUAAAAUGCGCCGUGGCGUUUGAAAACACCGCUUCCGAUCCGAUUUUUCUUUUGUGCUUUUUGAAACUCUUGCUUAAGGUAGCUUAAUUAAGCAGCGGAUUUUGUAAUCAGUCUGGCGCCGAUCGGUGUGAUCGAUGGCUCAGAUUGAAUCUGGUGAUUGUUUUACUUGCUUAAUUUCUGUGUUUAAUAAUCUCAGCUAACGGCGUACGUUAGAUCGUUAAUGUCGAGCGGGUCGCACGAAGCACGAGGCUCUUAGAGAUUCGUUCGAUUCUUUUCUAUGAAAACGAUGAACGCAAUAUUCAGAGACCUGCAAGCCUUUCUCGUGUGACCAAAAUACCCCCGCUCGAUUAACGAAAUGAGAGACUCUCAAUAGCGGGCAUUUGGGUCUUUGUUGAGGGUAUUUUCGUCAUUUGGGAUUCUUCCCACCUCCAACUUUCACUUGGAUUUAAUACAACCGAAUGUUCUCUCUCUCUUUUAUCAGUCUGUUGACUGUUUUUUCUCUCUGCUUCCGAUUUCUGAGCUCGUGGCUAAAUUUGCGUGAAAGUGAAAACCUUUUCUUUAUCUCUCUGCUUUCUUUUUCUUCUUUUUACUGCUCAAAGACUUACUGUGUCCGUGUUCCAAAACUGCCACUUCACCCGCCUUAACCGGUCGUGAGACAACGAGGGCAAUUUGGUCUUUCGACGCUCAACGGGUACAACGACCAAGGACUUUUAUUUAUUUGUUUUUUUUUUUUCUGGAAUUCUUGGCCUGUUUCCGAGAUUUACGGGGCAAUCACAGUACUUUCCCGUUGGAUUGAGAACAUGGCAUAUGAUGGUUUGUGGGCCGGUGUUUUACUCUUUUUUUAAUUUUGGGUUUUAUUAUAAUUUAUAAUAAUUAGGCUUUUUAAAUUUAGAAUUAAUUUUUAUUUGAAAAGUGGAAAUUUUGCUUGGUGAUUAAAAUGGGGGGCAGCCCAACCAAAAGAGGUUUAUGAGAGGAAAGGAUGAUUUCUUGUUGGAAAUCCUUGGAUUCCUUUUUUUGGUUAAAAUUGUAAUUGCAAUCUUUAAGGCGGUAAAGCGUGUGUGUGGCUUUAGAUUGUGAUGAGAGGGAACAUGUUGGGCGAUGGCGUGUCGUGGAGGGGCCGCGUAACAACUAAUACGCAGCCGCUGUUUGACAUUAUUGUCUCUCUUAAUUCGGUCUUCAUCUGAAUCUGAGUGCAAUUAGUCAAUUACAUUUUUGCCACCAUUCCCCUAUUAAGGGUGACCUAAUUUUAUGUAGGCAGGUUGUGUUUUGGGAGAAACAAUUCUUUUAGUUAAUGAGGCUCCUUUUUUAUAUAAAAAAUAGAAGCCUAUGUUUUGGUAGAGAAAAAGAAAACAUAGCAGCAGAGCAUAAAAGAAAACAUAGCAGCAGAGCAUAAUCAAUCAAGGACAAAUUUUCAGCUUUAAUCAACUAAGGUCUUAGGAAAACACUGAACUUACUCUGGCUUGCUUCCUCUUAUUAGCGAUGAAAUAGAGUAACAAUUCUCAGUCUACUAGGAAAUUGCGUGUUUUGGCAUUUGAAGUACUUAGGAUCUUUGCAACACCAUUUUCAUGUGGUUAGGCUUUAAGAUUUCCUCAAGUGAAGUUCAAACCAAUUCAGAAUCUCAGACUUUUGAUGAAUAUUUGUAUAAUUUUGUCUCACAAUAGGUGAUAUGUUCAUUGUUGCAGGGAUGCAAACCUGUGGAUCGCAUGGACAUAAUGGGAGGAUCUACAUCAGCAAGUCCAUGUUCUUCAUACCAGCCAAGUCCAUGUCAAUCCUACAAUCCAAGUCCUGCCUCUUCUUCAUUUCCAAGUCCAGCUCGCUACCCUGCAAAUGCAAACGGCAACGCUGAUGCCAAUUCUCUCAUCCCAUGGCUUAAAACCCUCUCAUCAGGUUCAUCAUCUGCUACAUCCAAGCUUCCCCAACUCUUCAUUCAAGGGGGUUCCAUAAGUGCUCCAGUCACUCCACCACUGAGCUCCCCAACUUCCCGAACUCCUCGAACCAAAAGUGACUGGGAUGAAGCAGUGGCUGGCUCAAACUGGGCAGGGCAGAAUUAUCCUUUCCUGCCUUCAUCCACCCCACCAAGCCCCGGUCGCCAGGUUCUGCCUGAUUCAGGAUGGCUUGCUGGACUGCAAAUUCCCCAGAGUGGCCCAUCAUCCCCCACAUUCAGCCUUGUCUCGAGAAACCCUUUCAACUUGAAGGAGGCUUUGUCGGGUGGAGGGUCUCGGAUGUGGACUCCGGGGCAAAGUGGAACAUGUUCGCCAGUAGUUGCUGCAAGUGUUGAUCACAGUGGAGAUGUUCCAAUGUCAGAUGGAAUGGCAGCGGAGUUUGCAUUUGGCAGUAACACAUCAGGAUUAGUGAAACCAUGGGAAGGUGAAAGGAUUGAGGAAUGUGUAUCAGAUGAUCUCGAACUAACUCUUGGAAGCGCUAGAACAAGGUAAGUUGGAAUCGAAUUCGUGGGCGAAUGGAUCCAACUGUUUUAAGAGUUCCUCAACUUUACUGGUUUUGUUUGUUAAGGACCUUGUGUUGGUGCUGCAGAUGAGAGAAUGAAUUGGGAGAGAACCGUUUAUGGGUCUCUUGAUGCAGGUUCUUCCUUCUCUUCAUGCCAAGUUCCACUUCAUGUCCCAGGGUGUUUUAGUGGGUCAGUUAGAAGUACAGUGAGUAGGAGCAGCUGUUUUCUUUUUCUUUUUUCUACUUUUAUUUUUUCCUUAACAAAAGAGCACUAAAAAUUAAAUUAUAAAUAGUUCAUGGUGGUGUUUUGCCCCUUCUGUUAAAUUCAUUCUUCCAUUUUAUUCUUCUUUGUCAUUUUUUUUUUCUCCACAUAACAUUGGAAGGAUUCAUAUAUGAUCUUGGUUUGUUUGUUUGUUUGUUUGGGAUUUGUGAUUGAGUCUGAUUUUGGAAGUGAAGACUAACUCAUUGCCUACAAGUUCUGACCUCUUCAGCUCAAUAGCAUGUUUGGUUAACAUACCUGCCAUUUUAUUACUAAAAAUUGCAUUUUAUAUAAGUAUGAAUUGUAAGAAGACAAGCCUUUUAUUAGAUUGAGAUGUACUCCUAAUAUAUAACGCAAUAUGCAUUAUCUGUCAUUAUCAUCCUGUUUCUGCUCUCUAUAAGCUUCAACUCCUCCAUCAUUCUGUCAUCCACAAAACAAAACAGUGUGCUAUCCAAUUUUGAAAAGAUUCAAACGCUCAAUUUUGUAAGUUGCAAGCCACAAACAAGCGCAAAGCAAUACUCACAUGAUCACAUCCAGUUAAACAUGCGCACAAACACAUAACAUCAAGAAAACCCAAUUCAAAAAAGAAAAGAAAAACCGAAGUUCGAGUGGAGGGACGAGAAAUCCGAAACUCUAGAAGCCAAUGCCUCGGGCUCAACCUUAGAAUUUGAGCUUUUGGGGACCCUCCAUUAGCUUAACCAAAUCAAGCUUCGUUUUUUAUGUUCUUGUUCUGCAUGUACUAUCCAUGAAGGCGGUGGCUUCAUGAACAAUAUUAGGGAGGAUUUUUCCAAGGGACUGAGGGAGGCCAACAGAGGCCAAUUUAUCUGCAACGUUUUUAUAAGAGAACUAAUAAACAUUGGAAAUGCAGAAGCGUUUUGAGUUUUCAUAAUUACAUUUCUCUCUCUUUCCUUUGAAUUCUGCUCCAUUUUAGCAUCAGGUCAAAUAAAGUCCUGUCUUCUUCGUCGCUCGCCAAGGCCAUCUAGAUUUGAUCCACACACACGCUUCUGUCUUCUUCUCUUAUUACGCCUAGUUUCAAAAGAUGGAAGAGUGAGGAGUCCACUCUUUUGGCUAGAAAAAUGGAGAUAUGCAAAUUACAAAUUUCAACCUUUAAAAUCUGACAAGUUUUUCAUUAGAUUGAGAUGUGCUCAUAAUAUUAGGUAAUUAAUUUCCACCUGUUCUAUGCGUUAUUUGUCUUUGGGAGGGGAACAAAAGCCAUCUGCCAUGAUCGUAUUAUGGUCCGGAACAAAACCAGAAGUUCCAGUCAUAAAACAAGUCUUCCAACAAAGUACUAUAUUUACUAUUCUGAUUUCUUUUGUUAAGAAAUACUUUUCAAUGAGUUUUGGCUUUUGUCCAGAACAAAUGUGUCAUUUACAAAUAGAAAUCGAGACGGCAUGAGUAUAUAUACACUGCGGUGGUUUCCAUGUACAUGCUAUGUCCCAGGAAGUGUUUCAUGGGCAAAGAAUGGCAGCAGCUGAAAGCUUCAAAGCAUAUGCACAGAACAUACAAUCUUCAAAGAUUCAUUUCCCCCUGAUCAUAGGUAACUUUUACCAAGUAAUCCAGGGAUGUGCUCAACUUUGUCACCCCUCAAUCUUCUGAUACAAAUCUGCGAGGGCACGAUAGAGGGUAGCAGCGGCAGGUGGUUUGGGCAACGAGCCAAGAAGUACAUCUGAUGCAGUUAUUGACUGGCUGCCAUAAAAUCGAGAAUUCACCUUUGUGCGGGUGGUUACAAUACUACCUUCAAGUGAACAUCCAACAAAUGCACCUGGAAUUGCAAUAAUUGAUGAUGUAAUGUGGUAUUAUUUAUAAGGAAACUACUCAAAAUGAAAAUAUAAAGAAAAAUAAAAGGAAAUACAGGUAUAACAUCAGAAAUGCAUAUUAAGUUGGAAAAAAUAGGACACCUUUACUACAGCUGUAUGUAUAACAAGCAGCGUAACCACCAUCACCGGCUCGAACAUCAGCUUCAACUGCCCUUCCAACAACGCCAACUGCAGCACUCAAGCCAGCUCCUACAGAUAGAUGCACAUUACCACUGAAUGUUUUUACAGCCUCAGUUGUUCUCAAAAUAAUGAUAAAGUCCGUCAACUCCCCUCCAGCCUGCAACAAAAAAGAGGGCAUGGGAUUUUAAGUCUUCAGAUAUAUACAAAACACAUACUGAGACUGGGAAGGUUUUGUUAUGCUGACUUAAUAAUAAUAUCACAUUUCAAACUUCUUAAACUUGCAUAAAUAGGAAGCUUUGAACAAGGAUUCAAUUUAAAAUUGAUAUAGACAGCAAAAACUUCAUAGAUUUGGUACAAUCAAUAUUUUUCUAAAAACUGUUUAAAUCUUAUUGUUGUUCCUCCAUUUGACUAAACAUGAAUAAACAUAUGCAAUGGUUAUUUCUGUCAGAGUAGUUGCAAAUUGUCAAACUGGAGAAUAAAUGUCAAAGUUGUUAUAAAUAAAAUAUUGCACCUGUGCUCCCCAACCUAUACCAAAUGUAGAAACAGCAGAUGGUGGAGACCAAGAGCCAUCUUCUCUACGAGCAAUCACGACUCCAGUACCUAUAUUGUAGGUAACCAUAACUCCAACUUUCACAGCAGUGAUUAUUGCAAGGCCUUUUGCUUGUCUUAGAAUGGCAUCCGGAAUUGACUUCUCAGGUUUUAGGGAGCAUACCUGAACAAUUAAUUCCAUGCGUUUAUAGAAUAUUCAUGCCAGUUAGAAAAACAUUUUCAUUAAGAAAUUAAGAGUACAUGUUAAUAUCGUAGAGACCGAUUUUAUUCUUUAAAUAACCAAAUUCAUGAAUUCUUCUCCCACUAUAAUUUAUGAUCCAUACAGGGGCUAAUUUUUGCGCACAUUUAUUUAAGUCAUAAGUUCUCAAGCCAAAGCAACACAGUCACUAAGAUAUUGGGCCUUCUCGAUGUAAUUCAAACUUAAGGCAAAUACGUUCUUAAGGUAAAACUGGAGCUCACUGGCUAUCAAAGCAGUAGAGGCAUCAACAAUGCAUGUUCAACAGUUUUGACACUUCAGAGUCUUACCUUCUUAUAAACACGAAUUGCAUUUGCCGCCUUAUAUAUCUCAUACUCCAUGGAUUGUCCCCAAGGAAUAUUAACCCACGACCGCAAAGUACUAAGGUCUGUAAGAUCCUGGGUUGGCAUCUGGGCUGCAUGGCUUACUUGGUCCAUUAAGUAUGGCUGGACCGAGUCAAGUCGUACACAGCAUACAUCACAGACUCGUUGGGGAUCCGCAACACGGAACUUUGCUGGCAUCAAACUCCUUCCCUUAGAGCAGUCACCACAAAAUAUUCCUCCACAAAACCGACAAUGAUGCCUAGAACACAUGAUGGGAUGAAAAUGCACGCCACAGAGCAUACAAGCAGAUGCAGAACUGUCAGCCAACCAUUUUGGUGGCUCUGCUUCGAUAAGUUCUCUUACAUUAGCAAAGUUUGCAUCUGUGAGUGUUUGGGCCAUUUCUUUCCAAGCCUGGUCAAGGAGAUUAUCCGAUAUCCAUGAAAGUUUGCAUCCAUAUAUAUCAGCUGAAGCAAUUGAACUUACUUUCCCACGGGCUGCAAGCAGCAUUUCUACCAUCACAUCCCACAUAGUCAGCUCCUUCUCUUCCCCAAUAUACUGGCCCCAACCCAUGUCACCAUCAGGAAAGUAUCCCCCAUUUGAGUAGAAACCUUUGGCCCACUCUUCAUGCUCAGUUUCCCACAUAGGCGGAACCGAAACGGGUAUCCAAACCCCAGUUUCUUCAGAAAGUGGAGCAUCAUAAUAAAAGUAUUUUCUUGGCUCCCCAUUUUCCUUCUCAUGUAACUCAGAGUCACAUUCUCUAGAUUCUGUCAUUAUUUGGUCAUCAUUAUGCUUCUGCUCUCUAUGAUUUUCAACUCCAUCAUUCUGUACAUAAAAAAAACAGCAGGUAGCAAUUAAAAUUUUGCCAAGCCGCAAGCACAAAGCAAUACUUACAGGCCGCAGACACAAAAACUAAACUAAAACAGAAAGACCUUUUUUUUUUUCUUCUUAAUUUUUGGAGAAGGCCCUAAAAUUGAAACCAUGCCACCGAAAGACUGUACUUUCCCAUUUCAAUGACUGUACUUUCUAAUUUCCCCGGAUUGAAUUUUACUUCUGAAUCGCAAAGAAACCCUAAUUGUUCUCAUAGGUGAGGCAACACCAGCUCAAUUUUGGGACUUUGACAGAAUGAUAAUCGAAUACGUCAAGAUAUGCACAUAUAGAGUAUGAUCAAAUCCCAAAACUUAUUCUUCGCCCACAAAAGAAUUCAAAACUUAAACACACUCAAAUAAAUGAAAUCAAGAGAAGCAGAGAGAGGAUGAAUAUUACCGGCGGAGAUUGGAAAUUGGGGUGGAGGGUGUCUUCCUGAAGCGAGAAAUCCGAAACCCUAGAAGCCAAAGCCUCGGCCUCAACCUCAGAAUCGAGUUUAUGGGGCCCCUCCAUUAGUUUAACCAAAUCAAAGCUUCGAUCUUUAUGUUCUUCUUCGGCGUAUACUAAUCAUUCAGGAACAAUCGCAACUAAUUCCGUGAGGACGAAGAGGGAUUGUGACGAAAACAAAUUGCAAAACACAAUUAUUAUUGCUAUUAUUAUUUUGGAUAGAACAGAAAAUAGGAUUGGCGAAAAAACAUGAAUUGCUUAUAGUAGAGGAUGAAGCUGUAAUGUCGUGUCGGCCAGUCUUCGUCUCUAAAACGUUUCCUUCGUCUAUUUAUUGUUGGAGCCCAGUUUUAUUUCUAAUUACUUCAUUUGCUAGACUUUUAUUCAGUUAAUCAUUAUUCAUUUUUCAUCAAAUAAGUUUUGUCUUUCUUUUUCCAAAAGAAAACUCAAUAAGCAUGUGUUACAGUGUUAUCUUACAAUUUUAGCAAAGUUAAAAAAUAUAUAUAUAUAUAUAUAUUUGUUGAAAGCAAAGUUUAAUUUUGGAAAAUAUGUUGGUAACAUAGUUGCUAAACUAUUAUUCUUUGAAAGUUAUAUUUAGUUGCUAACGGAAUCUAGUCCGAUAGAAGAAUAUGACAUUUUAGAAUCUUAAAAAUUUGUUAAAAAGCAACAACAAAAACAAAGAAUAUGGAAAAAAUUCCUGUCAUAUUUAUGAACAUAAUCUAAACAAGCAAAAACAAUUUCUUUCGUAACCGAGAAUUGUUUACAACAUUAGUGAUUUACAAGAUAAUAGACUACUCAUCUCUUGCUCCAAACUACAGGCACAUGGUAAGGGAGGAGAUUUAUUACACAAUCAAGAUGUUAUAAGGAUUAGAUCUUGAGACCUUUUGUCUGCAAACCAAUGAUAUUUUUUACUGGGCUAGACCCCGUUAGUAUCUUCUUUGGUUGUUAUUUUAAGUAUUAUAUUACCUACCAAUUCUUAAUUAUUACCAAAUACAUUUUCAACAUAAAUUUAAAAAUAUAUUUCAGCAUGAAAUUAACAAGAAAUUAUGACUUUGAAAUUGAAAAUAAUAAUGAUAUAUGUGAAAUUUACCCCAUUAUUCUAACAUCGCAGCGAGCGAACCGGCAGAGACGAACGGUGUGUUGUCUUAGAAGCCACUAGCAGAGUCUGAGCGGGUCACCAAUGGCAACCCGGUUCCCGAGUCCGAGUCCGAGUCAUAAAGUGGCGAGCUUGGUCCUGGUCCUGGUCCUCUUAGCUAGCCUCUACGGCUCCUGCCGUGGAUCUGAGUCUCGGAUCCAUCCGGGUCGCGACCUGUUGGCCACUCAAAGGAGGAACAACGGCAGUCAGAACCAGAUCCCGAGCUGCAACGACAUGUCGUCGGAGUCACAGUGCUCCCGGAACCCAAAGUGCCGGUGGUGCCGCAGCGACGUCCUCAACGACAUGUGCUUCCCAAAGCUCGAGGCUUUGCGCUUACCCCUACAGGUCUUCUCUUGCAAAAUUGACUACAGUCGUCUCAACAGAAAUCAUGAGAAAGCUUAGCUUGAGUAUAUUUUAAUUUAAAGUCAGCUGCUUUUAAAUCUUUUUCCACUUUUAAUCACAAAUCAAUUCUUGUGUGUUGUUGUUGUUGUUGUUUGUUGAGUAGGGAAUUGUGCAUCUUGUGAUCUGUAAAUGAUGUGAUGUGAAUUGAAAUUGAUCUGUUCUUGAAUUGAAGAUCUGAAUCUUUUGAUAGACUAGUUGAAGUUGUGAUUGUUGAAGGUUAGAUUGUGUUUUUCCCAGCUAAGGAUUAGGAUUUAAUAGAAUGGGAAGUUGAAGUAUCAAAGGAAGUGGAUUAAGCUUGAGCAGCUUAAGAUCAAGCUUAAUACAUGUGCCUCAAAAGUAGUUUAAGUAGCUUAAGAUCAUCAUAUCCAUGCCUUAGGAAUUGAGGCACAUUUUGCAAAAUUGUGUGUGUUUCAUGUUCAUAUAGAGGAUUUGUACAUUUAUAAAUUAGAGGAAGAAAUAUAGCUGCCUGCUUGUAAGUUGUGCUUGUACAAUGUGAAAGUAAAUCAACUUAGUACAUUUUGCUUGUAAGUUUUGUGAGUGAUCCAUGGAAACCUAGAAGAAAGCAUGAAGCCUGGCAUGCAAGGUA
This 30154-nucleotide long non-coding RNA is filed under the name Prunus persica (peach). RNAcentral's name for it is "long non-coding RNA (PPER_LNC003995)". The record is from RNAcentral. Lineage: Eukaryota; Viridiplantae; Streptophyta; Magnoliopsida; Rosales; Rosaceae.